AGUGAACGCUGGCGGUAGGCCUAACACAUGCAAGUCGAACGGCAGCACAGUAAGAGCUUGCUCUUACGGGUGGCGAGUGGCGGACGGGUGAGGAAUACAUCGGAAUCUACUUUUUCGUGGGGGAUAACGUAGGGAAACUUACGCUAAUACCGCAUACGACCUACGGGUGAAAGCAGGGGAUCUUCGCACCUUGCGCGAUUGAAUGAGCCGAUGUCGGAUUAGCUAGUUGGCGGGGUAAAGGCCCACCAAGGCGACGAUCCGUAGCUGGUCUGAGAGGAUGAUCAGCCACACUGGAACUGAGACACGGUCCAGACUCCUACGGGAGGCAGCAGUGGGGAAUAUUGGACAAUGGGCGCAAGCCUGAUCCAGCCAUACCGCGUGGGUGAAGAAGGCCUUCGGGUUGUAAAGCCCUUUUGUUGGGAAAGAAAAGCAGCAGGUUAAUACCCCGCUGUUCUGACGGUACCCAAUGAAUAAGCACCGGCUAACUUCGUG
RNAcentral lists this ribosomal RNA (492 nucleotides) under uncultured bacterium. Its description in RNAcentral is "partial 16S ribosomal RNA". It matches the Rfam family "Bacterial small subunit ribosomal RNA", at positions 29 to 507 of the family's 1533-position model. The record is from RNAcentral.